AGAUGCGAUCAUAUCAGUACUAAUACAUCAGAUCCAAUCAGAACUUCGCAGUUAAGUGUGCUUGGGCGAGAGUAGUACUAGGAUAGGUGACCUCCCGAGAAGUCCUCGUGUUGCAUCCC
Arabidopsis thaliana (thale cress) is the source of this 119-nucleotide ribosomal RNA. The record is from Rfam. NCBI's taxonomy places the organism in Eukaryota, Viridiplantae, Streptophyta, Magnoliopsida, Brassicales, Brassicaceae.